UCGAGAAUCAUUCGCAAUGGGCGAAAGCCUGACGAUGCGACGCCGUGUGAGCGAUGAAGGCCUUCGGGUUGUAAAGCUCUUUCGCUUGGGAACAAGAGAAGCCGGCUAAUAACCGGCGGAUUUGAGGGUACCAGGUAAAGAAGCACCGGCUAACUCCGUGCCAGCAGCUGCGGUAAUACGGAGGGUGCAAGCAUUAAUCGGAUUUAUUGGGCGUAAAGGGCGCGUAGGCGGGAAGAAAAGUCAGAUGUGAAAUCCUGGGGCUCAACCUCAGAACUGCAUUUGAAACUGACUUUCUAGAGGGUAGGCGGAGAAAACGGAAUUCCACAAGUAGCGGUGAAAUGCGUAGAUAUGUGGAAGAACACCGGUGGCGAAGGCGGUUUUCUAGCUUAUACCUGACGCUGAGGCGCGAAAGCAAGGGGAUCAAACA
Molecule: ribosomal RNA, 427 nt
Filed under: uncultured Candidatus Protochlamydia sp.
Lineage: Bacteria; Pseudomonadati; Chlamydiota; Chlamydiia; Parachlamydiales; Parachlamydiaceae
Description: bacterial SSU rRNA
Rfam family: Bacterial small subunit ribosomal RNA
Source: RNAcentral